CGGGCUUUGCUUCCGGGGCGGUAAGGGCAGCCACGUCAUCCCCCCGCUCCGCUCCCCAGCCGGGCAGUGGCUCGUGGGAGCCAAGAUGGCGGCGGCGGCGGCAGCGACAGCAGCAGCAGCAGCCAGUAUUCGGGAAAGGCAGACAGUGGCUUUGAAGCGUAUGUUGAAUUUCAAUGUGCCUCAUAUUAAAAACAGCACAGGAGAACCAGUAUGGAAGGUACUCAUUUAUGACAGAUUUGGCCAAGAUAUAAUCUCUCCUCUGCUAUCUGUGAAGGAGCUAAGAGACAUGGGAAUCACUCUGCAUCUGCUUUUACACUCUGAUCGAGAUCCUAUUCCAGAUGUUCCUGCAGUAUACUUUGUAAUGCCAACUGAAGAAAAUAUUGACAGAAUGUGCCAGGAUCUUCGAAAUCAACUAUAUGAAUCAUAUUAUUUAAAUUUUAUUUCUGCUAUUUCAAGAAGUAAACUGGAAGAUAUUGCAAAUGCAGCGUUAGCAGCUAGUGCAGUAACACAAGUAGCCAAGGUUUUUGACCAAUAUCUCAAUUUUAUUACUUUGGAAGAUGAUAUGUUUGUAUUAUGUAAUCAAAAUAAGGAGCUUGUUUCAUAUCGUGCCAUUAACAGGCCAGAUAUCACAGACACGGAAAUGGAAACUGUUAUGGACACUAUAGUUGACAGCCUCUUCUGCUUUUUUGUUACUCUGGGUGCUGUUCCUAUAAUCAGAUGUUCAAGAGGAACAGCAGCAGAAAUGGUAGCAGUGAAACUAGACAAGAAACUUCGAGAAAAUCUAAGAGAUGCAAGAAACAGUCUUUUUACAGGUGAUACACUUGGAGCUGGCCAAUUCAGCUUCCAGAGGCCCUUAUUAGUCCUUGUUGACAGAAACAUAGAUUUGGCAACUCCUUUACAUCAUACUUGGACAUAUCAAGCAUUGGUGCACGAUGUACUGGAUUUCCAUUUAAACAGGGUUAAUUUGGAAGAAUCUUCAGGAGUGGAAAACUCUCCAGCUGGUGCUAGACCAAAGAGAAAAAACAAGAAGUCUUAUGAUUUAACUCCGGUUGAUAAAUUUUGGCAAAAACAUAAAGGAAGUCCAUUCCCAGAAGUUGCAGAAUCAGUUCAGCAAGAACUAGAAUCUUACAGAGCACAGGAAGAUGAGGUCAAACGACUUAAAAGCAUUAUGGGACUAGAAGGGGAAGAUGAAGGAGCCAUAAGUAUGCUUUCUGACAAUACCGCUAAGCUAACAUCAGCUGUUAGUUCUUUGCCAGAACUCCUUGAGAAAAAAAGACUUAUUGAUCUCCAUACAAAUGUUGCCACUGCUGUUUUAGAACAUAUAAAGGUUCAUACAGGAAUAGAAACAGAACUGCAGUCUGUAGGUGAUUCUGCUGAUGUUUUCACUUCUAUAUGUAGUGUCUCUGUGAAAUGGCAAAAGGCUGUUCAGAUCUGUUUACCUGAGGUCAUUGUCUCUUGUGGAGGUGAUACAGAUACAGAUAUAGAUGUAUAGAUAUAUCACCAGGUGAAAUACAACAGAGAGCUAUAUUGAGAAUUUCCUUCAGGUCGGAGACUAGAACUUAUAGUUUGAGAAAAUUUUGGUUAAUUUACUUAUUCAAUCAUGUUUAUUGAGUGGCUCUAUGUAUAUUGUACUAGGCCCUGAAGAUACUGUAGUAAACAAGACAGACAAGUUCUCUGUUCUCUUGAAGCUUAUAUUGUAGUGACAGUAAACAGAGUAAGCAAAUUAGAAAACAAGUUAACUUCAGGCAUUUUAGUGACAUGAGAACAACAAAAACAGCAGGGUGAUGUGAGGCAAUGGGAUAUGAGAAUGGCUGAGAGGCCUACUCUGGAGUAAGUCUGCAAGUGAAAUCACCUUUGAUGAGGUGAUGUUUGAGUUGAGACAGGAAUCACAGAAAGGAGCCAAUUAGUGAAGAUCUCAGGGCCAACCAUGCCAGGCAGAGGGAAUAAGAAGUGCAAAGGCCCUACGACAAACAAAUUCGGUAUGUUUGAGAACCUAGAAAAAGACAAAUUGUGCUUUAUUGAGGAGGGAAAGAGUGAUGGUAGAAUAUGGAAUCAAAAAAAGUAGAAAUUUAAGUAUGAUAACUCAUUAGAGGUUAAUGACAUGAUCUGAUUUAUGUUUUAAAAUAAAGAAGACUGUGGAGGAUAAGGGACAAUGAGUUCUGGAAAUAAAAGUGGAACUGGAAGACAACUAUUAUAGAUGUGCAAGAAAAUUGGAUGUAUAUUUUGAAUAUGAAGAAAAAAUAAUGAGCAAAA
This is an RNA transcript of Homo sapiens (human), 2253 nucleotides long. It is a transcript of the gene named sec1 family domain containing 1, with no coding region annotated. The record is from RefSeq and is marked validated. Lineage: Eukaryota; Metazoa; Chordata; Mammalia; Primates; Hominidae. The transcript is spliced from 16 exons.